UUCCCCUUUCUUCUUUUUUCUCUGCAGUUCCCAUUUCCUGGAUUUCCGGGCUUUCCACCUGUUAUGGGGAGAUAAUGUCCCUGCAGAUACACUCUGUCUCUCGGUGACAGAAAGAAUGUGAAAGAUGUUCUCCGAGGUGGUCUCCUGCUUUUAACUUCCCUGCUGAAUCUUCAAGCUGCCUUUUAAUUCUACUUAUUUGCUUUAUUUGGCUAUAAAAAGCAGUGUUUCAUUUCUUUGACAACAUUACGCAUAUGUCAUCUCUUGUGAAUAUUGUUUUCACCUAAAGCAAUGUAACAGCAUCCAUUUCUAAACUAAGCUGUGCUUUUAUUAUAGUUGAUAAAUACUGAACACUGACACUUUUCUUUUUUAAUUCUGAAGUCUCAAAAGCAAGACAAUCCGGUAUUAACUAUAGAUUUAACUUCCAUUAAGAUCAUCACAGAAGUUAAUUAUUAUAUUGUUUUAUCAUAACAUAAAGAUAUGAAUACAUAAGCUAUGGUUUACUUAUAUGCCUGACAACAUUUGAUUGAGAUGUCUCAUUCAAUAGAUUUUCAAUCCAAUAUACUUUUGUUUUUCUUGCUGGAAAGUAGUGUUUUUUUUCCUUUUAAAUGUGCAUAAAUAAAGAAUAAUACAAACCAGAA
Long non-coding RNA from Elgaria multicarinata webbii, 638 nucleotides. RefSeq lists it as uncharacterized. The transcript is spliced from 4 exons. Lineage: Eukaryota; Metazoa; Chordata; Lepidosauria; Squamata; Anguidae. The record is from RefSeq and is a predicted model, not a curated record.